RNAcentral lists this ribosomal RNA (212 nucleotides) under uncultured bacterium. RNAcentral's name for it is "partial 16S ribosomal RNA". It matches the Rfam family "Bacterial small subunit ribosomal RNA", at positions 524 to 733 of the family's 1533-position model. The record is from RNAcentral.
UACAGGGGGUGCAAACGUUGCUCGGAAUCAUUGGGCGUAAAGCGCACGUAGGCGGCCUGUUAAGUCGGGUGUGAAAGCCCUGGGCUCAACCCAGGAAGUGCACUCGAAACUGGCGGGCUUGAAUAUGGAAGAGGGUCGCGGAAUUCCCGGUGUAGAGGUGAAAAUUCGUAGAUAUCGGGAGGAACACCAGUGGCGAAAGGCGGCGACCUGGG